This is a non-coding RNA of Phascolarctos cinereus (koala), 428 nucleotides long. NCBI's taxonomy places the organism in Eukaryota, Metazoa, Chordata, Mammalia, Diprotodontia, Phascolarctidae. The record is from RefSeq and is a predicted model, not a curated record.
UCGUUGGCAUUUCCUCUCUCCUUCCUUCCCAGCCUACUGCCAUGUCCCUUCAUAGGCGCUACUGGAAUUGAAUUUCCCUAAAACACAGCAUCAGGUGGUCAAAAAACUCCUCAGAUUAGACUAAAUCACAGCAAAAAUAAAAGGAUUAUCGACCGUAUCCAGACGUUGCAGGUGAAGCUAUUUGGCACCAUGGAGUCUAACCAGACUCUCCUGGUCGGACAGAACUUGCAAGGCCACCGAGGCCAGGCCAGGCCUGAACGCACAACCCUUCUAUGACAAGUGGUCAGCCAGCCUGCGAGGGACUGACUAGCGCCCAAGAUUCCACUUCUGGACAACUCUUCCUAUUGUCAAGUUUUUCCGGAAAUCCGUCUCCUACCAAUUUCUACCCAUCAUUCCCCGUUUUUUUCUUCUGGGCCCAACAGCAGGUA